UAAAGAUUACUAGAUGGGUCUUUUCUGUCUGUAAUGGCUUGUCACAAAAUAGAUAUUUGCCAAACCUUUUAUUUGUCCAAAUUACAUUAUAGUUAAUUAUUAAUGGGUGUGUUUUAUUAGUAGGUGUGGUUUUGAUUGUACAGUGAUACAAGAGAAGAUGCUUCAAGGGAUGAUGAUGGUGCCAGUGAGUGGAUGAAUUAAGAAAAGAAAGACGAUAAAUCCAUUUUGACAAAGACAGGCGGAGCUUAUAUUCCCCCAGCUCGAUAAAAAAUCAUGCAAACACAGAUACGACCAGUGCUCCAUAUCAAAGGAUGGCAUGGGAGGCUCUUAAUAAGAGUAUUAAUGGUCUGAUUAACAAGGUUAAUGUGUCAAAUAUUGCCAACAUUGUCAGGGAGUUAGUACAAGAAAGUUUAGUCCAUGGGUGGUAAAAUACUUACAUGUAUACUCUAAUUAUUCAUUUUCAAUAUUAUUUUGUUCUUUUUAUUAGAGGAUUAUUGGCACUUGCUGUCAUAGCUUAGUCAGCCUCACCCACCUUUACUAAGGUGUACGCUGCACUUGCAGUCAUUAAUCCUUUGCAAGAAACAACAAGAUUAUUUGUUUGUCGUCUGUCAGUGACUGUAUUACUGGAAGAUCCUACGAGCUACUGGUCAACUUGAAAAAAAUUAUAACAAUUAUUGAGAAGUAUUAAUUGCUAUGACAAAGCCUGACCGACCCCUUAUUGCCCAGGUGAUGUUGUACUCUCAGGGUUUCAGGACUGCCGAGACACUCACUAGCAAGAUACAUUGUAGUACCUUUAUUUAAAUUGUGUGAUGAGCAGUUAUCCAAUCAGUCUCACUAUGACUUUGGUCUGAGAGCCCUAAAGAGUGUACUGGUGAGUGCUGGUAAUAUCAAGAGGGACAGGAUCCAGCAACUGAACCGAGAACUGGCAGCUCAAGGACAGACACUGGAGGAAACUGAUCUAUCUAAGCAACUUUAUGAACAAGAGGA
Molecule: long non-coding RNA, 987 nt
Filed under: Amphimedon queenslandica
Lineage: Eukaryota; Metazoa; Porifera; Demospongiae; Haplosclerida; Niphatidae
Description: uncharacterized LOC109590073, transcript variant X2
Source: RNAcentral